This 524-nucleotide ribosomal RNA is filed under the name uncultured bacterium. RNAcentral's name for it is "partial 16S ribosomal RNA". It matches the Rfam family "Bacterial small subunit ribosomal RNA", at positions 355 to 893 of the family's 1533-position model. The record is from RNAcentral.
UGGGGAAUAUUGGACAAUGGGCGGAAGCCUGAUCCAGCAAUUCCGCGUGGGUGAAGAAGGUCUUCGGAUUGUAAAGCCCUUUCGGCGGGGACGAUGAUGACGGUACCCGCAGAAGAAGCCCCGGCUAACUUCGUGCCAGCAGCCGCGGUAAUACGAAGGGGGCUAGCGUUGCUCGGAAUUACUGGGCGUAAAGGGCGCGUAGGCGGCGGUGUUAGUCAGGCGUGAAAUUCCUGGGCUUAACCUGGGGACUGCGCUUGAUACGGCAUUGCUUGAGGGUGGAAGAGGCUCGCGGAAUUCCCAGUGUAGAGGUGAAAUUCGUAGAUAUUGGGAAGAACACCGGUGGCGAAGGCGGCGAGCUGGUCCAUUACUGACGCUGAGGCGCGACAGCGUGGGGGAGCAAAACAGGAUUAGAUACCCUGGUAGUCCACGCCGUAAACCGAUGUGCGCUGGAUGUUGGGUGGCCUAGCCACUCAGUGUCGUAGCCAACGCGGUAAGCGCACCGCCUGGGGAGUACGGCCGCAAGG